AGAGUCUUGUCCUGGCUCAGGAUGAACGCUGGCGGGGUGCUUAACACAUGCAAGUCGAGCGAAGCACUUAAGUUUGAUUCUUCGGAUGAAGACUUUUGUGACUGAGCGGCGGACGGGUGAGUAACGCGUGGGUAACCUGCCUCAUACAGGGGGAUAACAGUUAGAAAUGACUGCUAAUACCGCAUAAGACCACGGGACCGGAUGGGACAGUGGUAAAAACUCCGGUGGUAUGAGAUGGACCCGCGUCUGAUUAGGUAGUUGGUGGGGUAACGGCCUACCAAGCCGACGAUCAGUAGCCGACCUGAGAGGGUGACCGGCCACAUUGGGACUGAGACACGGCCCAGACUCCUACGGGAGGCAGCAGUGGGGAAUAUUGCACAAUGGAGGAAACUCUGAUGCAGCGACGCCGCGUGAAGGAUGAAGUAUUUCGGUAUGUAAACUUCUAUCAGCAGGGAAGAAAAUGACGGUACCUGACUAAGAAGCCCCGGCUAACUACGUGCCAGCAGCCGCGGUAAUACGUAGGGGGCAAGCGUUAUCCGGAUUUACUGGGUGUAAAGGGAGCGUAGACGGCACGGCAAGCCAGAUGUGAAAGCCCGGGGCUCAACCCCGGGACUGCAUUUGGAACUGCUGAGCUAGAGUGUCGGAGAGGCAAGUGGAAUUCCUAGUGUAGCGGUGAAAUGCGUAGAUAUUAGGAGGAACACCAGUGGCGAAGGCGGCUUGCUGGACGAUGACUGACGUUGAGGCUCGAAAGCGUGGGGAGCAAACAGGAAAGGAUACCCUGGUAGUCCACGCCGUAAACGA
RNAcentral lists this ribosomal RNA (801 nucleotides) under uncultured bacterium. RNAcentral's name for it is "bacterial SSU rRNA". It matches the Rfam family "Bacterial small subunit ribosomal RNA", at positions 8 to 809 of the family's 1533-position model. The record is from RNAcentral.